RNAcentral lists this ribosomal RNA (440 nucleotides) under uncultured archaeon. Its description in RNAcentral is "bacterial SSU rRNA". It matches the Rfam family "Archaeal small subunit ribosomal RNA", at positions 1 to 450 of the family's 1478-position model. The record is from RNAcentral.
UUCUGGUUGAUCCUGCCGGAGGCCACUGCUAUCGGGGUUUGACUAAGCCAUGCGAGUCGAGAGGUGCAAGACCUCGGCGUACUGCUCAGUAACACGUGGACAAUCUGCCCUGAAGAGGAGGAUAAUCCCGGGAAACUGGGGGUAAUACUCCAUAGUUCGUGCUGACUGGAAUGUUAUGCGAACGAAAGAUCCGUCGCUUCAGGAUGAGUCUGCGGCCGAUUAGGUAGUUGUUGGGGUAACGGCCCAACAAGCCUGUCAUCGGUACGGGUUGUGGGAGCAAGAGCCCGGAGAUGGAUUCUGAGACACGAAUCCAGGCCCUACGGGGCGCAGCAGGCGCGAAAACUUUACCAUGCGGGCAACCGUGAUAAGGAAACCCCGAGUGCCAGCACAGGCUGGCUGUCCACCAGUGUAAAUAACUGGUGAAGAAAGGGCCGGGCAAG